UUUUAGCCCCGAUAGCAGCGGCAUCCUUUUUCUGGUUUCGUCUCGUCCCAAAAGACGAGACGAAACCAGAAAAAGAUAUAGCGUAUAGCGGGAAAUAGC
Molecule: small RNA, 99 nt
Filed under: Flavobacterium xinjiangense
Lineage: Bacteria; Pseudomonadati; Bacteroidota; Flavobacteriia; Flavobacteriales; Flavobacteriaceae
Description: Flavo-1 RNA
Rfam family: Flavo-1 RNA
Source: RNAcentral